GGAAGUGAGGGCAACCUGGCUGCAACAUCUGUCACCUCAUUGAAUGUCAUGGUUGAUCCAGCCGCUGUGGCUGGUAAGGCGGUUGUCUCCUUCCUCCCUCACCACUCAAUGGAAGAGGAAAACCACCCCGACGAAAGUGGGCCUUUUCCUCCAUCAAGGGUAUAGACAUAGCUGCACUUCUCAGCAAGCUCUCAAAAAUAACCAGUAAGAAUUUCCAUGGCGUUCUUCUGUUCCUAUACAUUUUUAUAAACAAAGUUAGUAUUUGCUAUAUGCAGUUUUAUUUAAUCUU
Non-coding RNA from Cavia porcellus (domestic guinea pig), 289 nucleotides. NCBI's taxonomy places the organism in Eukaryota, Metazoa, Chordata, Mammalia, Rodentia, Caviidae. The record is from Rfam.